This 310-nucleotide long non-coding RNA is filed under the name Brassica napus (rape). Its description in RNAcentral is "long non-coding RNA (BNAP_LNC012096)". Lineage: Eukaryota; Viridiplantae; Streptophyta; Magnoliopsida; Brassicales; Brassicaceae. The record is from RNAcentral.
CCGCGGUUCACCCACUCCAUAUUCGACAACUUGGGACGCAAUCCACGGAUGGAGUCGCCCGCAGUCGACGUCCGCGGUCCACCCUCGUCCAAUCCCGCGGACAGCCUUCACCCGCGGCCAACGUCCGCGGCCUAUCCAGGCAAAUCUCAAGCUCUCUGGUCCGAAUCCGCGGACUGGUGUUGUCUGCGGUUUCCGUCCGCAGGAUGGUCCGUCUCGGUUGAUCUCUUGGGAGCAAUUCCGCGGCCUGGUCCAGUCCGACCUGGUCGUCCGCGGCCUGGUCCAUCUUCUUGCCUUUGCCACUUUUCUUCAU